GCGGGGCAGGGGCUGUGGGGCGCCUGAGUUGGGCUGUGCUGUGCUGCGAUGUGAGGGGGACUUUAUAGGUCAUCGAGGGUUGUGGUGGGUUUGUAGGGGCUGCAGUGGGUUAUUAGGAGCUGUAGGGCUUGGGGUGGGGUGUAAUUUGUAGCUGCAAGGUUGUGUGGGUGCUGUGGGUGGGCUAUAGGGUGUGGCUUGGUGGGGGGCUGCGGUGGGUCUGUGGAGCUUUGAGGGGCACGUUGGGCUCUGGCGUGUAAUCUGGGGGCUGUGUGUGUUUUGGGUGCCCCAUAGGGCUGUAGUGAGCUGCAGGAGGAUGCCCUGUGGGGCUGUGUUGGAGCAUUGAGGUUGUAGGACCUGAAGUGGGAUGUAAUUCGGGGUUGUAGGGGUGUGAGGCUAUGUGGGGCUGUGAAACCCUGUGGGGCUGCAGUGGGUAAUGGACACCGCAGAGCCUGGGAUCGGAUGUAGUUUAGUUUGUGUCUGCAAGCCUGUACAUGGGGGAUAGGAUGUAGUUUGUGUCUGCAAGCCUGUACAUGGGGGAUAGGAUGUAGUUUGUGUCUGCAAGCCUGUACAUGGGGGAUAGGAUGUAGUUUGUGUCUGCAAGGCUGUACAGGGGCUGUGGGAUCCAUCCCAUUGGGUUUCAGGGCGAUGCCCUGAGGGGUUGCAGUGGAUUAUAGGGUCAAGGGGAUGCUCCAUGAGCUGUGUGGGGAAGGGGCUGAAGCAAAACCCAAGCAUGAUGUGACCUCGUCCAGCUCCUGCGCUGAUCCCUGCUGAAAGCAAGUGAGAAUGCUGCAACAAAAUCUGGCUGAGGAUGAAACAUUCUUGCAGCAGCCUUGGAGGCUGAACGUCAGCUGAGGAUCUCAAAAGUGAGGGGGAGCAGCAAAGCGCUUUGUCUUGAGACCCUUUUUUGGGACCUGAGGGAAUGGUGCUUCUACUGAAGCAGCGCAGCAAAAACUUGCAUGCAAGAUACCAUCUUCCACAGCUCUGCCUUUGCUGCUGCACUAACAAGGUUUUUUUGAAGUUUGAGGUCUUAAUGUAGCAUUUAAAAUUUCACUUACCCAAAGCCUCCAUUUUUUUGUUAUUUUUUCUUUUUUUUUUUUUUUUUCACCCUGCGAUUUACCGCAAGAAUAUUAAAGGAAAUAGUUUGCUGAGGAUCUUGCUAAUAAUAUACUCCCUCCAUCAGGAGAAAAUAUUCUACCUUGGCAUUUGGUGCCUCACUAACAAGCAGCCAGAAAGGAGCGAUGCCAUAUAAAACUGUAACCUCUAAAUAUGAAAUUUUGGAGAUUGCAACGAGCAGCGAGUGCCAGCUCCAUGCCGGCAGCAGGGAGGAGGCAGAGGGAACGCCAUCAGCUCGCUACUUGCUGCUGCACAGAGCACAUAGCCCCAGGAGUUUCUCUGCCCAGUGUCCUGUUACCACUUGAAUCAAGAUGUGAAUGCCAAGCCAGCUUAUUUUUAGCAGAAUUUGGACCUAAAGAAGCAAGCGCUGGUGAAAUACAUCGUACUGACAGCUCUGGAAAAUCUUUAUUCAUCUGCAGCGCAGGAAGCAGGGAAGGAUGCGAGAAAGCAAAGCAAUCCCAAGCUACAAACCAAGUCUCCCUAGCACUGCACAGACCCUGGCGGUAGCUGGGAGAGGGUUUUUCCACGCUAAGAGCAGGCCUGGCACGGCAGGGAGGAGUGCGGUGUGCCGCAGAUUUGGACAGCCUACAAGCCUCCAGCUGAGCUCACUGCGUCUGUCGGAGCUCAACUGCAGCAGCGGUGGGGCUGUAAAAAUGGGAGAGACUCGGAAAACUUGAGUAUCUGAGCCCUGCUCUGCUAAGCUCUGCGAGUUUACUGUGUUAAUACAACAUUGGAUCUGUGCAACUGGGCGGUCCAAUGGCACUGAUGCUGCCCUGUACCACCUCUAGCAGUCAUUCAGACCCUCUGCUCUGUGGAAGAACCCAAAAAGAGGAUACUUACGACACAACCAUCAUGCCAAGCAGGCAUGUUUCUAUCCCUGUCUCUUGGGACCUUGCUGAAAUCCUCCAGUGCAUUUAGGCAUCUGCUGGACCUGAGCUGGCUGGGGGCUGAUAGAUCCCUGCAGGCAGCAGUUGGCUGGAGUGGAGACGAGACCAUGAAGGAGAGCAGAGCAGCAGCAAAAAUGGGUCCCUUCAGCUUUUGGGGUACAGCUAGGAGGUCCCUGGAUGCAUGCUGGGAACGGUAGCUGGGGUUGUUGAAGGUGAGCACAGGAGAUGUCCCCUGCAUUUCUCUGCCAGGAGGAUGCACACACAGUGUUAACACGUUUGUCAUCAGUAGGUCUGAAAUUCAACCACGGACAGCUCAGGGAUCUGACAAUUGUUUGUGUCUGCCUCGAGACAAAUAUCUCAUUGCCCCCUUUGCAAAUUUGCUCCUCUGCUGCGUGUGUGUUUCGAGUUUCUUCAUGCAAAACCUGCGUGGGUGUUUGGGUAUGUAAUGAGCACAUAGUUCAGGAUGAAAACAAGUUGCCUGGAAGAGCCAAGUAACGCCAAAAAAAUGAAAGCAAUACAAACAACAACAUGGCACACAGCCAUACCAGCUAGACCGUGGGCCAGCCGGAUCUCACGUACUCUCCGGAGCUGCAGAGCCGAUCAGCUGUUGGAAAAAGAGACCUUUAAAGACAAGUGAGAGGAAAUAGCAUUGGCAGUGCAGGCCACAGCAUGUUUCCUUCCAAAGCAGGACAGAGCCAAGGACAUGAGGCAGAGCUGUAACAUUUGGGGUCUCGUUGCUCAGCAAAUCAAAAACGUCCAGUGGGUUGUAGUUGUGUAAGCGUCUAUUGUUUUCUGAGCAGAAUCAGAGCACUGGUCUGAUUGGGUAUUGUCACAACAGAUUUUGGCAAUGCUUGCUCACCUAAGUGAGCUCCCUCUGCAAAAUGAAGCCCUGGCUUUAACUCAGUGCUCCGUGUUGGGGAAAUAAACCUGCCUGCCUACACAACUCUCUGGCUGGAGAAUAUCUUCCAAAACCUCCCAUAGGAACUUUGAAGAAAAACACCAUUAGCCUAUGGACCAGAGCAGGACCAGAGCAAUUCCAAAAAAUUCCCUGAAGUGGCCUCACUAAUUAUUAUCUCAUUUUGGUAAAGUGAAUGGGGAAAAAAUAGUGGUGAAGCUGUUUUGAAAUGCAUUUUCUGCAGAGCCUGAAUGAAUUUCUGUAUAGAAAGGGGGGUGAGAGCAGGCCUCAAAGACAGGUUACGUAAUUUUUCCCUUGCCCUCAUCCAUUUGGAGCAAGGGACCAUCUGUACCUCCUUAUAACACAGUGAAACAGUACUUCUUUCAGCAUAAGAAAAUGGGUUUAGUUGUGUAGACUCUGAUCCAUGCAUCUGCUCCUAGCCCAUUCAUUUAAAUACCUGUCUGAGAACUCUUCACCAGCUCUUAAAGCACCUGUUCAUUGGUGAAAGGCUUGAAUCAGUAAAAGCUCACUGGUAAUCUGGAAGGUUGAAAGGGGCCUUAAAUACCAGAGCUUCCAUAUGCAUAUUGGCAUUUUUCUUUGCAUAAAUGCCAGCUUUAAAAGGCUUAUUUUACAAAGCACAAACACACUUCUAUGAUGAUUUUUUUUUUUUACAUCAAGGUCAGUAACUCGGCUUCAUUCAUCAGUCUCCAGCUGCAAACAUGCCCCAGACAAUGGAGGAGAGUGUAUGUGAGCCAGGAAGUGCCAUUUGAGGGGAUGUGAGUGGCUCUAAACUGCACUGGGGAGAGAGGAUCUUGGUGCCCUUGUGCACUCGGCCCUGCACGAACUGAAAUAGGGUGCUCGAGGGCAGGAAAAGCUGCUUAGGUGGGCACAAAUAACACUCGCACUUAGUGAGCUUCAGUAAAAGGCACCUCUCAAAUGUCACCGCUGUGCCGUCGACUGGUGUGAUGCAGCCAACAUUGUGCUCCCCUCCACAGAGGCAGUGAGCACUCUUAGGAAGCAGACAAGAUAAUCCCAGCUAAAAAUACUUAUUCUUCCCCUGGCAGGUGCAUGCAUCGUGUGCACGGUGCUCUCACGGUGACGUGCCUGCACACCCAGUGCACUCUGCUCAUCUUUCACUUUGGUGCUUCUCCUCCUUCCAAGUGAAGUGCUUGGGCAUUGUGAUUAGUGCUCUGAAUCACCCGGAUAGGAUGCUCCGUCCUGUGUUUCAGAUGCAAAAUGUGCCUUGGAAUUCAAUAGUUGCUAUAGUGCCGUAAUUACACAUUUUAUGGAGUAGUUAGUCAGAAUGGCUAGAGCUCUUGUUAUUAGGCUUGGACUCCUUCUGCUGCUUUAUUUUAAAGACCUCUCUGAUAAACGUCUACUCUCUGCAUUAAAAAUAGUUUGUUUCAGCUUUUGUGUCCCUCCAAACGUAGCCACAAUUCAAGGCUGAAGGAGAAUAGGUCCCCAGCUAUGUGGAGGGACAGAGUUUGUAGCCUGCUUAUUGCAACGUGGGAUUGGGAGCUCCAAAAUGUUCCUCAAAGUCAGCUGCAGUGACACCAGCUGAGUACUUCCAGGGUUUGGGAGUUCUUGAGCACUGAUCUCAGCAACUUUGCUGUCUAUGGUUUGGAGAAGACGUGCACAAUCUGCUUAAGGCAUCCAUACCAACCAGGAUCCUCCUCUUCCCUUCAGCAGUAUGGAGGAAGUGGACUCUUUGGGUGCUUUGGGUCCCACAAUGGGACACGGUUUUGGUGAGGAUGAAUCUCUGUACCAAGGUGUUGCUGUUCUUAUGCCCACUCUAGAAGAAGCUCAGCAGGAUUGCAAGCAACUGAGAUAAGCAAAAUAAGCACCAUGCUUGACAUCCCUCCUCUGGUCGGCAGGGAUAGUCACCACCCUACAUCAUAGUGUUGGCCUUUCCCCUAUUAACCACAUUUUCUGCCCAGGUUUCCCUAUCUGGAGAGUGGAGCUAACUGCUUAAUUGCCUACUUUCUAAGGAGUCGAGCAGGAUAAUUAGCUAAUGUUUGGGUAAUGCGUCAUAGGGUAAAAGUGCUAAGUAGUAUUACUGUCAGCAGCACAGUGGGAAGUGAAGGACUCAAUCUUGUUUUUCAGUCAGGAAUGUCACGGUCUUCCCUUAAGCUCACUGUUCACAUUGACUGCUGAGGGCAGGGGACUUGGGUGAAAAGUUUCAAGGAGGAGGAUGCCAAGGACAGCAGAAAGCUGUUUGCAAUCCAGGAGAAGAGCUGUGAGAAUAGCUUGGUGUGCUUUGGAAAGAGAAAACUGUAAAUGAUGACAAAGGCAGGGAACACGCCUGGGGCAGCACAGAAAGGACUCGUGUCUGUAAGCUUAAUUAUUCAAUAGCAACAUCCUCUGAGUCAUAAAAAUGCAUCGGGGAAAGUUUUCUUGCGCUGCAUUUGUUGCAUGCAUGCAGCACUGUGGGAAGCAUGAUAUAGAAACCCAUCUAGCUCUCCCUGGGGACUGAAGUAGACUCAACCUAAAAGAGAUUUUGCAUCUUUAAUUUCUAUUAUUCUGCAAAUUACGUUAGAGAUGAAUUUUAAACCCUUCUCAUGUCCGUUGAUCAUAAUUGAUGAGAUUUCAAUUGUGUCUCCUUGAAGUUAAACAUCUGAGAGACACUUUGCUUAAUAGUUUGCCUUUCAGAGCACUGCAUUAGCUCCCUUGUGCUCCAGUCCGCUUAAUUUAGAGCGAGUGCCCAAAAGUGGUGCAAUUAAGGAAGGAAUCUUGGGCUGAAGCUCUCUAUGCUUUCAAAUGACCAGCAGACCCUUAGCGCUGGCUUGUUUUUACCAUGGCUGGAACAACACUUUCUGUGACUCACUCUUAAUUAUUCUCUGGAUUCAAGAACAAAUGUUUUUAACCUCUUUCUGUUAUAUCUGAGAAUAAUUAAACCCUCAUCUCUGUCUCUGAGCAGUUCUGGAAACGUUGCUGUGAUCUGCCAUUCCACCUCUGUGAGCCUGACUCCUUGGCUUUCUGGCCACACCAGAGAAGCAUAUUCUCCUUCUGCAUCUUUUCUAAAUGAGCUGAUAUUUUUCACGCUUUCGAUUUAUUUUCUUGCCCUGGAAACAGUCCUAUGCUUUGAUCUAUUCAAAAAAGAUGUCUUUUCCAGAGAGAUUGCUGGGCUCUCCUUUUUUCCUGUCAAGUGGCCAGCCGCAGGCCACAUGGAGAAGAUGCUAGCUCCCUUUUCUUCUUCCCAGUAUCAGUAAGCCAGCCUCAGACCAUCUCAGCAGCUCUGCACCCUGCACAGGUGUCUCUUCAGGCAGGAGGAUAGAGGGAAGAAACACAGACGGUGCCAAAUCAAUCCUAUCCACCAUUUGCAUUCCUACAUCUCUGCGAGCUUUCCAUCAGGAGUAAUAUUUGACCCUUGGGAAAGCAGAGCAACCUUUUGUUUGCCAUUCCUGAUGGUAUGAAAAUCAGCAGACACACUGCUGUGAUGAGUCGCCUGCCAUGAAACAGUCACAUGCCAAACACCGCCCCAUCCCAGCACUCCCCAGGAAGAGUUUGUGCCCAGUCUCAGCUUCUGAAGUCCUCAAAAGCCUGCUUUAUCCUAGAGAACCACUUCCUGUUGUGUCUGUUCCUGUAUUUGUACUAA
Molecule: long non-coding RNA, 6490 nt
Organism: Meleagris gallopavo (turkey)
Lineage: Eukaryota; Metazoa; Chordata; Aves; Galliformes; Phasianidae
Source: RefSeq, a predicted model, not a curated record